GGCCGCAAGGUUAAAACUCAAAUGAAUUGACGGGGGCCCGCACAAGCGGUGGAGCAUGUGGUUUAAUUCGAUGCAACGCGAAGAACCUUACCUGGUCUUGACAUCCACAGAACUUUCCAGAGAUGGACUGGUGCCUUCGGGAACUGUGAGACAGGUGCUGCAUGGCUGUCGUCAGCUCGUGUUGUGAAAUGUUGGGUUAAGUCCCGCAACGAGCGCAACCCUUAUCCUUUGUUGCCAGCGAUUCGGUCGGGAACUCAAAGGAGACUGCCAGUGAUAAACUGGAGGAAGGUGGGGAUGACGUCAAGUCAUCAUGGCCCUUACGACCAGGGCUACACACGUGCUACAAUGGCGCAUACAAAGAGAAGCGACCUCGCGAGAGCAAGCGGACCUCAUAAAGUGCGUCGUAGUCCGGAUUGGAGUCUGCAACUCGACUCCAUGAAGUCGGAAUCGCUAGUAAUCGUGGAUCAGAAUGCCACGGUGAAUACGUUCCCGGGCCUUGUACACACCGCCCGUCACACCAUGGGAGUGGGUUGCAAAAGAAGUAGGUAGCUUAACCUUCGGGAGGGCGCUUACCACUUUGUGAUUCAUGACUGGGGUGAAGUCGUAACAAGGUAACCGUAGGGGAACCUGCGGUUGGAUCACCUCCUUACCUUAAAGAAGC
RNAcentral lists this ribosomal RNA (661 nucleotides) under Salmonella enterica subsp. enterica serovar Senftenberg. RNAcentral's name for it is "bacterial SSU rRNA". It matches the Rfam family "Bacterial small subunit ribosomal RNA", at positions 884 to 1533 of the family's 1533-position model. Lineage: Bacteria; Pseudomonadati; Pseudomonadota; Gammaproteobacteria; Enterobacterales; Enterobacteriaceae. The record is from RNAcentral.